RNAcentral lists this ribosomal RNA (527 nucleotides) under uncultured bacterium. RNAcentral describes it as "partial 16S ribosomal RNA". It matches the Rfam family "Bacterial small subunit ribosomal RNA", at positions 355 to 874 of the family's 1533-position model. The record is from RNAcentral.
UGGGGAAUUUUGGACAAUGGGGGAAACCCUGAUCCAGCCAUCCCGCGUGUGCGAUGAAGGCCUUCGGGUUGUAAAGCACUUUUGGCAGGAAAGAAACGUCGCGGGUUAAUACCCCGCGAAACUGACGGUACCUGCAGAAUAAGCACCGGCUAACUACGUGCCAGCAGCCGCGGUAAUACGUAGGGUGCAAGCGUUAAUCGGAAUUACUGGGCGUAAAGCGUGCGCAGGCGGUUCGGAAAGAAAGAUGUGAAAUCCCAGAGCUUAACUUUGGGAACUGCAUUUUUAACUACCGGGCUAGAGUGUGUCAGAGGGAGGUGGAAUUCCGCGUGUAGCAGUGAAAUGCGUAGAUAUGCGGAGGAACACCGAUGGCGAAGGCAGCCUCCUGGGAUAACACUGACGCUCAUGCACGAAAGCGUGGGGAGCAAACAGGAUUAGAUACCCUGGUAGUCCACGCCCUAAACGAUGUCAACUAGCUGUUGGGGCCUUCGGGCCUUGGUAGCGCAGCUAACGCGUGAAGUUGACCGCCU